ACACGACUACAUUAGAUACCCGGGUAGUCCUAGCCGUAAACGAUACUCGCUAGGUGUCGGCCACGGUGCGACCGUUGUCGGUGCCGUAGGGAAGCCGUGAAGCGAGCCACCUGGGAAGUACGGCCGCAAGGCUGAAACUUAAGGAAUUGGCGGGGAGCACAACAACGGGUGGAGCUUGCGGUUUAAUUGGAUUCAACGCCGGAAAUCGUUACCGGGACCGACAGCAACAUGAAGGCCAAGCUGAAGACUUUGCCGGAUUAGCUG
RNAcentral lists this ribosomal RNA (264 nucleotides) under uncultured archaeon. RNAcentral's name for it is "partial 16S ribosomal RNA". It matches the Rfam family "Archaeal small subunit ribosomal RNA", at positions 717 to 982 of the family's 1478-position model. The record is from RNAcentral.